Molecule: long non-coding RNA, 546 nt
Organism: Malaclemys terrapin pileata
Lineage: Eukaryota; Metazoa; Chordata; Testudines; Emydidae
Exons: 3
Source: RefSeq, a predicted model, not a curated record
AUCAACUGUUCGUCCGGGAAGCCUGGGAGCACGGAGAAACAACCAACAGCGCACUCAGGCCCAGGAGCGGGAGGCGGAGCAGAGGGGGAGAGUAAGAAAAAAGGAGGGAAACUCCAGGGGGCAGCGCUGGAGCUCCAGGGAGAGAGAGAGGCAGCCGAAGGCCCUGGAAAAAGUGAAGGAGAGAGAACCUGCCUGAAGCCUGAGAAGAACAGGGCCGAUCAGGGACAGCCUAGGACAGGAGCCAGGAGGCGCACUGUGCCAGGGAGGAAUCGCCCAAGAAGACAGGCCGGAGCUGGACCCAGUAUCACUGCUGCCCAGAGCUGCAUGGGGCUGAGCACCCAAGAAUCACCACUGGACUGGAACUUUGCUCAGGACUCCUGAACUCUGUGUGCAGACACAUUGCUCGGUGUCUGACCUUCCAGACUGUACUACCACUGGGCCUGUGGGGCCUUGGCUGGAGGCAGCCCUAUUCUACUGCUCCCCCUAUAUUUCCCCUUGUUGUUUUUCUCCUCUCAUCCCUCUGUAAAUAAAUAUUUCCCUUUAUUA